Lepisosteus oculatus (spotted gar) is the source of this 3057-nucleotide long non-coding RNA. Lineage: Eukaryota; Metazoa; Chordata; Actinopteri; Semionotiformes; Lepisosteidae. The record is from Ensembl.
GGAACAACAGUGAAAAGCGCUCGGGAUGUGUUGCAGUGAUGGUCCUGCAGUAGCUCCGUGUGUGAAUGCCGUCCGGGGCCAGAUCACUUUAACAGCAGUCCCACUUCUCUUGACUCGUAGGUCCCCCCAUCUUCAGUACGGGCUCCGAGCAGGCCUGCGGACAGGGGCCCCUGGACAGCGCCCACAGGGGGGCCCCCAGAGCCCGCUGCUCGUGUGCCGCCUCUCUCCACCAGCCUCAGGGGCGGGGCUGUUGUGUGGCUUUUACCAGCUGCGCGGGGCUCCGCGAGGCCCCGCGGACACCGACACCGGCCCACACGCAGAGAGCCCCCACGGCAGGGGACGCCCCUCCCGAAUUCAUGGGCCCGCAGGGAAAAGCAAUGUCGCUGACAAACAAAACGCACUGUGAUGGCAGCGGGAAACGGGCCCGGAGCUGUCCGUCAAGCCAGGGGCGGCAGAGCCGGGUCGUCCAGGGGGGGGCAGUGCUCUUCCAGCAAUGGGCUGCUCAGCCCCCCCCCCCCGCGCCCAGCAGCCCCCCUCCCUUCUCUCCCCCUCCUCCUAAUCCCUCCUCCCCCGGGUCUCCAUGGCGACUGCCCAGACAAGCAGGUGAUCCAUUGACAGGGAGCAGAUGGUGUCCCGUGGAGGUAAGCAGGGCCGAACAAUGCCGCCGUAUUGAUCCUGUUGCUCCUCUUUCUCCAACUUCGUCCCGGAGUUUUUCUGGGGUUCCCCCCUCUCGCCACAGGGGCGCCCCCUCCCCGGGGCCUGGACGGGGGGGCCCCCGCGGAGGCAGCGCGGGCCCUGGGCACAGGCGCAGGCCCGGACCCGCCCCAGCUCCGUAGCUGUCACACAGAUUCAUGGCCGAGCCCGGCCAUGGGGAGCUGGGAGGGGCGGCCUAGGAAAACAAGAGGCUGCUUUUUGCCUUGGUUUCUAUGUGUGCUGUCUGCAGGUGUUUUCCAAACCUUGGCUACAGUAACUCGCUCUAAAGUAGCUCCUUUUUUUUUUCCUCUACGCUCCGAAGAUAAAGUGUGCGUCGCCCCCCCCCCUCCUCCUCCUCCUCCUCCUCCUCCCCCCCUCCUUCUUCGCCNNNNNNNNNNNNNNNNNNNNNNNNNNNNNNNNNNNNNNNNNNNNNNNNNNNNNNNNNNNNNNNNNNNNNNNNNNNNNNNNNNNNNNNNNNNNNNNNNNNNUUUUUUUCUUCUUCUUCAAACUACUGAAUAAUCCACAAACAAUGCAGGGCUACAAAGCAGUCUGAACUAAUGGCGUAGCAUUGCCAGGCGGGAGUCUCACAGAGGGUCACUUGUUCCUUCGUUUUUAUGGAGAUCAGUUAAUGCAUGUAGGACAUUGCGUCCAGGUUUUAGAACAAGUGGCGAAGAAAGUGCACAACACAAUGAAGCUUUUCUUAUGCAUUUAGAGCCCUGUGCCCACAAACACCUGGGGCUUACAAAGAGGAGAAAGAGUGGCUAUUGUCUCCGAGUUGCACUACGUAUAUCAAUACUUUCUCUUUGGCUCGAUUGUUGGGGAAGUCGACAUUGAAGGCUGAUUCAAACAUAAAGAUGCACAGCGAGGAGCGACUGAAAGCCGUUCUCUUUUAAUAGAUUGGCUAAUAGGUACCUAUUCACCGGAGAAAAUGUUUUUUAAAGUUUUGCAAAGAAACAAUCGCUAUGCAUGUUGCCCCACUGUAUAGCAGUUAUCCAACGAGAUCCUUUUUUAUUUUAAAUAGAUGGCAUAGAAAAGAGGAAUCCCCCCCCCCACACACACACCCCACUACCACAAAAGCUUUUCCAGUUCGAACAGAGUUAUUUAUUGAAAGAAAUAAUAAAUUGGAGGACAUGCUGUGUGGCUGUAGGGGCUCAAAGACUGAGCAGGCAUGUUUGUGCCUGACAGCUUCUUAAAUAAGAAACCGCGAUGAAAAAUCUAGUAGAUAAAUAAUCAGACGAUUGUUUAUUUAGUUGUGGCUGUAUAAAUGCACGGCUCCCGGCGAUGUAGCCAGUGCCCGACAUCCACUUCUAAAUCAGAAACACAGCUGUGUUGUGGAAGAGCAGUGACUUGUGUUAUCGAAGCAUCAGAAUCGUAUCCCUUGGCAGCUCCUGCAGCAUAAUAAGACCUGACUUAUAUCGAUUUAGUUUAAUUACACGAACGCUGUAUCUCACUUCUGGGUGAGGUUAUGCCGUUGGCUCCGUGUCCUGCCCUGCCUUCUUCUGCUUGCUUUGGCAAAUCCCACUCCCCUUGUCCACGUUCAUUCAGUUUGGACGAAGCCGGCUUUUAAGACGCGCAAUUCUCCAUCCCUCAGGAGGUUUCCUUUUUGUUUCAGUCGGCACACACAACACAACACAACGGCGAGAGGGAUGGGAGAGGAUGUCGCUCUGGUUAUCUCGCUCCUUCAGCCUGGUGCCCGAGCAGCACCACACAAUGCCAGGGGUGGAAUGCCACUAGUUCUGUGUGAUUAUCUGCAAUAAGUGGGAAACACACUGCCCACAGGUUCAAUGGAGUCCAAAACAAUCCGAGGAGGCCCCUGUGUUUUACUUUUCUCUGGAAUGAAACUGAAAAUGCCUAUUGUGCUGCAUGAGUCCUGGCUUGUCCGUGAAAAAAAAUCAUCUCCGCUCAGAGCAGUCUAUGCGUUUCAGAAGGUGCAUCCAUUUUUACAGAAGAGUAAAAUUCUCCAUUCUGAAAAUCGAGGCAGGCAAGUGUGAAUUUGUCUGUUUGACCUUGUGUUUGAUGUCUCACUUCUCACUCUGCCUCACACUCCAGAGAGCUUUGGCUCAGCCUCCAGUUCCUUCAGAGCAAUUACUUCUGCCUCGGACCAUUUGUGUUUUUGCUUUUAAUUAUUCCGUUAUUUUAGUUAAUUUGCAUUGUCCUGAAAGCCAGGUGGGCACAUUUCAUGUAGCUGUUGUGAGCCAAAGUUUUCGAAGUGUUUUUUUUCCCCUGAAGAGAAUAUGAUCUUUGUAUGAGCAAUUAAAAACUUGGGAUCCCGCAUCAAAAGAUAAUGUUGUCUUUUAAAAACAGUUAAUGACAUUUGUGAUGGUUCUUAUGAUCAGAUUAAAAACAUCUUUAUGCUACGACUAU